This 979-nucleotide long non-coding RNA is filed under the name Gallus gallus (chicken). RNAcentral's name for it is "lncRNA (ENSGALG00010027761.1)". Lineage: Eukaryota; Metazoa; Chordata; Aves; Galliformes; Phasianidae. The record is from RNAcentral.
GCUGAUGCCGUGGGGUGAGGGAGGAGGAGGGAGCCCGGGGAGCCAGGCCGAGAGCAUUGGCAGAGGAAGAAAGAGAGGAGGGGAAAAAUGUAUCCUGAAAUGAACAACUGCAGACAAAGGGCCAAGUCUGGCUCCCCCCCUUCCUUAAACCUUACACCAUGAGUAAUCCCGGCUCCGCAGCGCAGUCACCGCGUGCGGGAGUCAGGGCAGAAGCAGAAUCCGGGGCUGUUCUCAUCCUCAUCCUCUCACUGAUUUUCAAACAAGAAUAAACUCAGCUUUUCCUGUUCAAGCUGCUCUGCCACAGCAGAAAAGAUUUCAGCUUUCUGUCAACCUGAUGGCAAAACGAAGUCGUUCCCUUCCAGGUAACCGCCUCUGAUUGAGAACAUCCGCUCACCAAAGGCUUUCAGUGCUCUGGUGGGGGAAGAAGAAGAGGAGAAAAACCCCCAAACCCGUCCAUACACAGUGCCCCUGCAGCUGCCCCACACACCGUGACCCCAUAGCUGUGGGGUUCUGGUGCUGUCGGUGUGUCUGGCAGAGGUGUGCCUCCAUCCCGCUGCAUCCCACUGCAUCCCACAUCCCUCUGCAUCCCACAUCCCUCUGCCAGGCUCUGCAGCUCCUUCCAAACAAAGAGGGAUCUCUGGGCCGCCCUCCAUCCACCACCUCCCCUCGGUGGAAGCCUGCCCACGUCUUUUUGUGCAAAUCCUUCCCUCUCGGAUGCUAUUUGAUGUCUUCAAAGGGGCUAUUCUUAUGUGGAGAAAAGAGGGCGAGCUCAGGUCUGACAAGGCUCUUCGCUCGCAGCGCAGCUAUUUUUUCACUCGGAAGAGUGCCAGUUUGGGAUUUCAAGACAAAAAAAGAAAUAAAUAAAAUACAUAUAUUCUCUUUUUCACAGGCUGAUAUUUGGGUGAAGAACUCGCAAAGUUGGGACACUGCAUCACCACGGGGAUGGGGAGGGAGGAAGGGGAGUGAGCACAUGGCUCUG